Molecule: long non-coding RNA, 491 nt
Organism: Rhinopithecus roxellana (golden snub-nosed monkey)
Lineage: Eukaryota; Metazoa; Chordata; Mammalia; Primates; Cercopithecidae
Exons: 2
Source: RefSeq, a predicted model, not a curated record
CAGGGCAAAACAUGGGCAAUAGGGUGAGCAUUUUUAAUUGUCUUUUUCCGCUGGAACCUUAUAUAUCUCCAUGUGUUUUCUGCUCAUUCCCUCCCCCAUGAAAUGCAUUGUCUUCUGUGUUAAGAAAUGUGGACUCCUGUGAGGUGCUGGAGGUUUGAAUCAUCUUGAAAACUUUUCCAGUCUUGUCUAGUUACCACUGCAGAGACACUAAGGAAUUUACCAGAAAAAGAUAUUUGAUACAAAUGAUUUAAGAAAUCUCAACAUUUCCUGAGGCCAUAUCACUGGGCAACCAGUGAUGAAAACUAUGAAUGAAUUGCACACCUGGAAGAUUUUUUAAGCUAAUGACAGUUUCUUCAAAGAUGUCAAUUAUUUGCCUUGGAAAUUUUAUAAAUUGCAUUUCUAUGCACAUCUGCCCCUAGUGCUUACCACUUGGUUUAUUAUUCAUAAUCUGCAAUUCAAUAAAGGCUUUGUGCUUUCAUUUAUCUUCAAAA